GCAGAAGACCUUUAUUUUAACCAUUUGAAGUGGUUUUAGCAGCAAUAAUAGAAAGUACAAUGGCUCAUGCAUAUGAAGUAUUGAUUGGAAUCAGCAUUGCAAUUGGGUUUGGAUUUCUUCUACUGGCAGGUCUGUUUUGCUUCCGUAAACAAAUUGAUAACUGUGUGGACAGUUUUUUGUCUCUAUGGAUACCACAGGAAGCUGACCAAAAGGAAAGACAACAAAACUUGCCGAAUAUAGAAGAUAUUACCUAUGCAUCAGUAAGAUGGCU
Molecule: long non-coding RNA, 271 nt
Organism: Polypterus senegalus (gray bichir)
Lineage: Eukaryota; Metazoa; Chordata; Cladistia; Polypteriformes; Polypteridae
Exons: 4
Source: RefSeq, a predicted model, not a curated record